GUGGGGAAUCUUAGACAAUGGGCGCAAGCCUGAUCUAGCCAUGCCGCGUGAGUGAUGAAGGCCCUAGGGUUGUAAAGCUCUUUCAGCUGGGAAGAUAAUGACGGUACCGGAGGAAUAAGCACCGGCUAACUUCGUGCCAGCAGCCGCGGUAAUACGAAGGGUGCAAGCGUUAUCCGGAUUCAUUGGGUUUAAAGGGUGCGUAGGCGGAGCGUUAAGUCAGUGGUGAAAUCCUGCAGCUUAACUGUAGACUUGCCAUUGAUACUGGCGCUCUUGAGUGCGCUUGAAGUGGGCGGAAUGUGCCGUGUAGCGGUGAAAUGCUUAGAUAUGGCACAGAACACCAAUUGCGAAGGCAGCUCACUAAGGCGAUACUGACGCUGAGGCACGAAAGCGUGGGGAUCGAACAGGAUUAGAAACCCUGGUAGUCC
This 425-nucleotide ribosomal RNA is filed under the name uncultured bacterium. Its description in RNAcentral is "partial 16S ribosomal RNA". It matches the Rfam family "Bacterial small subunit ribosomal RNA", at positions 354 to 796 of the family's 1533-position model. The record is from RNAcentral.